This 509-nucleotide ribosomal RNA is filed under the name Pilodius moranti. Its description in RNAcentral is "partial 16S ribosomal RNA". It matches the Rfam family "Bacterial large subunit ribosomal RNA", at positions 1838 to 2594 of the family's 2925-position model. The record is from RNAcentral. Lineage: Eukaryota; Metazoa; Arthropoda; Malacostraca; Decapoda; Xanthidae.
UGUAGGUGUAAGUGGUCUGGCCUGCUCACUGAUAAAAUUAUUUAAGAGCCGCGGUAUAUUGACCGUGCAAAGGUAGCAUAAUCAUUAGGGGUUUAAUUGGAGCCUGGAAUGAAGGGUCGGACAAAGGAAAGACUGUCUAUAAAGUUAAGUUUGAAGUUUACUUUUAAGUGAAAAGGCUUAAAUAACUCAAAGGGACGAUAAGACCCUAUAAAGCUUUAUAUGUAAGUUAAGUUUGACUUAUUUAAAUAUAAAGGUUAAAUUUAAUUGUCUUAUUUUGUUGGGGUGACGUGAGUAUAAUUUUGGUUAACUGCUUAUUAAAAAUACUUUUAUGAAAGAUUUGAACGAUAAAUGAUCCUUUUUAAAGAUUAAAAGACUAAGUUACUUUAGGGAUAACAGCGUUAUUUCUUUUGAGAGUUCUUAUCGAAAAAGGAGAUUGCGACCUCGAUGUUGAAUUAAAAUAUCUAUAUAAUGCAGCCGUUAUAAAAGAGGGUCUGUUCGACCUUUAAAUU